UACGGAGGGGGCUAGCGUUGUUCGGAAUUACUGGGCGUAAAGCGCACGUAGGCGGCUUUGUAAGUUAGAGGUGAAAGCCCGGGGCUCAACUCCGGAAUUGCCUUUAAGACUGCAUCGCUAGAAUUGUGGAGAGGUAAGUGGAAUUCCGAGUGUAGAGGUGAAAUUCGUAGAUAUUCGGGAGAACACCAGUGGCGAAGGCGACUUACUGGACACAUAUUGACGCUGAGGUGCGAAAGCGUGGGGAGCAAACAGGG
This 254-nucleotide ribosomal RNA is filed under the name uncultured bacterium. RNAcentral describes it as "partial 16S ribosomal RNA". It matches the Rfam family "Bacterial small subunit ribosomal RNA", at positions 524 to 777 of the family's 1533-position model. The record is from RNAcentral.